This 468-nucleotide ribosomal RNA is filed under the name uncultured bacterium. RNAcentral describes it as "partial 16S ribosomal RNA". It matches the Rfam family "Bacterial small subunit ribosomal RNA", at positions 28 to 507 of the family's 1533-position model. The record is from RNAcentral.
GACGAACGCUGGCGGCGUGCCUAACACAUGCAAGUCGAACGGAAAGGCCCUGCUUUUGUGGGGUGCUCGAGUGGCGAACGGGUGAGUAACACGUGAGUAACCUGCCCUUGACUUUGGGAUAACUUCAGGAAACUGGGGCUAAUACCGGAUAGGAGCUCCUACUGCAUGGUGGGGGUUGGAAAGUUUCGGCGGUUGGGGAUGGACUCGCGGCUUAUCAGCUUGUUGGUGGGGUAGUGGCUUACCAAGGCUUUGACGGGUAGCCGGCCUGAGAGGGUGACCGGCCACAUUGGGACUGAGAUACGGCCCAGACUCCUACGGGAGGCAGCAGUGGGGAAUAUUGCACAAUGGGCGGAAGCCUGAUGCAGCAACGCCGCGUGCGGGAUGACGGCCUUCGGGUUGUAAACCGCUUUCGCCUGUGACGAAGCGUGAGUGACGGUAAUGGGUAAAGAAGCACCGGCUAACUACGUG